This is a non-coding RNA of Drosophila virilis, 495 nucleotides long. The record is from RefSeq and is a predicted model, not a curated record. NCBI's taxonomy places the organism in Eukaryota, Metazoa, Arthropoda, Insecta, Diptera, Drosophilidae.
AUUAUUUUUUUGACCAAGCCAUUAUUAGGAACUAGGACAAACGCUUGAUCCUAAAUAGUAGCCACUGAGAUAGAGCUAGUGCAGUAACUACACAAAGUGCCAAAUGUUGCUCCCCCUGACCGCUGUUUGUGUCUUAUCUGCUGACUGGCCACGCCAUUUGCAUGCGCCGCUGACAGCGCAACAUUUUGUUGCGCGGCUACCAAUUCCGCAGUUGGAGUCGUCGUAGCUAGUGCUGCUGCGGUUGCCGCAUGGGCAGCCAACAAGGUGCUGGUGCUGGUGCUGUUGCUGGUGCUGUGCUGUGCUGUGUGUUGCACUAAGUUAGGUUGUAGUUGCAGCCUGGCAUUAGUUGUAGCUCGUUUGGCUGCAGGUUGUUCUUGUUGGAGUCGCUUGUUGGUUGUCAUGUACGAAAAUUGUAGCGCGCAUUGCUGCAGGAAAUAGUUCAAACAUAUCAAUUUUAUUUUUAUUUAUGCUAAUAAACCGUUAGGCCUGAGUGAA